AUAAAGUGGGUCGUGUGAUUUAUGAGACUUCAGAUUUAUAUUCAAUGGUUGAAAAUUACGUGCGUCAUGGAGGCUACUCCCUCAUAGAUGCUGUCUUUUCUCUUGAUCUCCUGAUGGCUGACAGCUUCCUCAAAACAAGUGAGAACAGGGAGGCGAGACGAGGAAUCCUUGUGCCUAUGCUCUAAAUGUGUGCUCAACAGUGAAAGAACGUGUUAAGAAGUCAUGUAUAAUGCGCUGCUCUUUAUGACUUCAGAAACGUGCGACUUUUACAAGUCAAAACAGACGAUGUUCUCUACUGGGACCCACGUGAUCAUGGAAAAGGGCAAUCCCUUGUUGCCAGCCGUCGACCACAGGUUCGUACUUAUGACAAAGGCUUUUCUAGAUAUUAAUGUAGAUAUUAAUCUAAAUAAAUUCUAGAUAUUAAUUUCUGCAUGACUGGUUUGAUUCUUUAUUAACAAUAAAGGAGGAAAACUAACGCUGAUAUUUUGUUGAUGGUGCUGGCAGGAUAAGAGCGAUUGUGGAAUCCGGGUUGUUUGAGCACUGGAUGAACAACGAACUCCAUGCAUACCGCAGCAACUGCCAAUUCUCGCCCUCCAUCAUCUUGGUGAGGGAGCCGCUGUCCCUCGCCAACCUCUGGGGGUUGUUCUUAGUGCUCGGGACAGGAAUGCUGUUGGCAGCGAAUGUCUUCUGUCUGGAGCUGAGCGUUCCCCCGAAGCCAACAAGCAAACCAUGAAGAAGCCGUGUAGUUCAACUUGUCCUCCUCGUCCGAGGUGAUGCACCAGCCUGCAGCCUCCACACUUGGCAGUGUUUGGCGCGCACUCCUGUCAUUUCAUCACGUUACUUCGUGCUUACAUUAAUCUUCUCUUCUCAA
Molecule: long non-coding RNA, 871 nt
Organism: Scylla paramamosain (green mud crab)
Lineage: Eukaryota; Metazoa; Arthropoda; Malacostraca; Decapoda; Portunidae
Exons: 2
Source: RefSeq, a predicted model, not a curated record